AUCCAGAGCUAGGGAUAUAUGGCUGGCAGAGCAGUUCUCCAUUGAAUUGUCAGUGAAGCUCAUAACGAUCCUUGAAAAUCCGAGUAAGAUUAUCUCAUCACACCAGGUCGUACCCAUAACCGCAUCAGGUCUCCAAGGUUAGCAGCCUCUGGUCGAUAGAAUAACGUAGAUAAGGGAAUUCGGCAAAUUAGAUCCGUAACUUCGGGAAAAGGAUUGGCUCUGAGGGUUGAGUGUGGUGCCAAUGAAAUGGAACUAGGAUCUGUACUGGUGUUGGUCGCAAGAUCGAAACCGGCAUGGAGAGAAGGAAAAUUUUUGCGGCUAGCACAAUUAACAACCGACUCAGAACUGAAGCGGACAAGGGGAAUCCGACUGUUUAAUAAAAACAUAGCUUUGUGAUGGCCUCAAAAGGUGUUGACACAAAGUGAUUUCUGCCCAGUGCUUUGAAUGUGAAUAUGAAGUAAUUUAUAGAAGCUCAGGUAAACGGCGGGAGUAACUAUGACUCUCUUAAGGUAGCCAAAUGCCUCGUCAUCUAAUUAGUGACGCGCAUGAAUGGAUUAAUGAGAUUCCCACUGUCCCUAUCUACCAUCUAGCGAACCCAUAGCCAAGGGAACGAGCUUGGAAUAAUCAGCGGGGAAAGAAGACCCUGUUGAGCUUGACUCUAGUCCGACUUUGUGAAAUGACUUUCGAGAUAUAGCCUAAGUGGGAGCUAACGCGCCGCUGUAAAACCACUGCUCGCUUAGCCAUUUUACUUACUCCAUGAAGAAGUGGCCGAUUUUUCGGUUCUUAGAUUUAAGCCCUGACUCGUAUCAGGGCAAGCUUUGUGGAGGACACAGUCAGGUGGGGAGUUUGACUGGGGCGGUACAUCUGUUAAAACGUAACGCAGGUGUCCUACGGUGAGCUCAAAGAGAACAGAAAUCUCUUGUAGACCAAAAGGGGAAAAGCUCACUUGAUUUUGAUUUUCAGUACUAAUACAAACCGCGAAAGCGUGGCCUAUCGAUCCUUUAACUUUACAAGUUUUAAGCUAGAGGUGUCAGAAAAGUUACCACAGGGAUAACUGGCUUGUGGCAGCCAAGCGCCCAUAGCGACGUUGCUUUUUGAUCCUUCGAUGUCGGCUCUUCCUAUCAUUGUGAUGUACAAGUCACAACGUGUUGGAUUGUUCACCCGUUAAUAGGGAACGUGAGCUGGGUUUAGACCGUCGUGAGACAGGUUAGUUUUACCCUACUGAUGAAUCGAUGUUGCGACAGUAAUCUUACUUAGUACGAGAGGAACCGUUAGAUCAGAUAAUUGGUUAAUACGGUUAGCUGAAAAGCUAAUGCCGUGAAGCUACCAUCUGUUGGAUUAUGACUGAAAGCCUCUAAGUCAGAAACCAUGCUGGAAAGCAACGUCCAAUCAAUAAUAAAUGAAAAAGAAUAAGGGAAACCUUUAGUUCAGUAUGGGGACGGUCAAACUCGAAAGAGUAUAGCCAAACCCAGAAUAAAUUUUAAUUAUUAUUGU
Molecule: ribosomal RNA, 1494 nt
Filed under: metagenome
Description: eukaryotic LSU rRNA
Rfam family: Eukaryotic large subunit ribosomal RNA
Source: RNAcentral